Non-coding RNA from Bufo gargarizans (Asiatic toad), 681 nucleotides. Lineage: Eukaryota; Metazoa; Chordata; Amphibia; Anura; Bufonidae. The record is from the annotation of a RefSeq genome assembly.
CAUCUAUGGCAGGAACACAAGAUUAUAUUACAGAACACAGCUGUCUGGGCUCCCCCUACACAUUACAGUAUAUACGUCUCAUGCUGCGAGUCAUACACCAUAUACUGUACCAUCUUAUCUGCUUUAUAGUGAAUUGUGCCUCCAUGAAAACCAGCCAUGUUCUCUUCAUUUUACUCACUCUUCAUUCAGGUGAAGGUGCUGAAGACUAUAUUAUGCCGUCAGAGUCUGACAUGUUUGCCAGAGGAGGAAUGAAUGUCACUCUAUCCUGCUCCUACUCCAGUAGCUACACUGGAACCCUUUAUCUGUACUGGUAUCGUCAUUAUCCUGGGUCAGCUCCACAAUUCAUAUUAUAUAAAGCUAACCAAGGAUCUCAUGCUUAUACUUCCCUAUUUGCUGUUGGAAAAAUCACAUCUGAGGAUGCACAGCAGAAACAUCUUUUAGCUACUGGCUCUUCACUCCAAUCUGAUGCCAAUGGUGAAGAAGUAACCACAGAACCUUCCUGUCAUUAAAAUAUCAUUGUCAACAUCAAAUAAGACCUUCAGAAAAGUAAAACAAACAAACAAACAAAAACUUCCUCCUUUUCCUUACCACAAGAAAACUUUUCUGGGGAUUUGAUUUCAGUCAAGACCUGGAAGAAAACCAUCCAUAACAUCUAUAUAAAAGUGAAAUACAGAAUUUCCA